RNAcentral lists this ribosomal RNA (503 nucleotides) under uncultured bacterium. RNAcentral describes it as "partial 16S ribosomal RNA". It matches the Rfam family "Bacterial small subunit ribosomal RNA", at positions 30 to 523 of the family's 1533-position model. The record is from RNAcentral.
AUUGAACGCUGGCGGCAGGCUUAACACAUGCAAGUCGAGCGGGGUGAUGGUGCUUGCACUAUCACUUAGCGGCGGACGGGUGAGUAAUGCUUAGGAAUCUGCCUAAUAGUGGGGGACAACAUCUCGAAAGGGAUGCUAAUACCGCAUACGUCCUACGGGAGAAAGCAGGGGAUCACUUGUGACCUUGCGCUAAUAGAUGAGCCUAAGUCGGAUUAGCUAGGUGGGGGGGUAAAGGCCUACCAAGGCGACGAGCGGUAGCGGGUCUGAGAGGCUGAUCCGCCACACUGGGGCUGAGACACGGCCCAGACUCCUACGGGAGGCAGCAGUGGGGAAUAUUGGACAAUGGGGGUAACCCUGAUCCAGCCAUGCCGCGUGUGUGAAGAAGGCCUUAUGGUUGUAAAGCACUUUAAGCGAGGAGGAGGCUCUUUUGGUUAAUACCCAAGAUGAGUGGACGUUACUCGCAGAAUAAGCACCGGCUAACUCUGUGCCAGCCGCCGCCGUAA